AUUAGCCCCUAGACAGCCACAUCGGAAGUAAGUUUACGAACAUCAUAUUCCUAGACACUAUCAUGCAGGCUACCAAGGGAAUAAGCUGCCAUAACACUGGGCCCGGGCUCGAAGAAGACUGGGAUGUAUGUGAACGUAUGUCUUUGCGGCAGGGGAACACUUAGAAUACUUCCGAGAUUCUUGAGGGAUUGAUGCUAAGGAAAGAAAAAUGGAAGAAUCUCGAAAGAAAACGGCUUUACCUACGCAGGGGUGAGAAUGUGCCACAACUGCCGCUAUUCCUGCAACUGUCAAACGUGAAACGACGUUUAGAAUAUCAGUCUGCACGCUUAUGAACGUAAUACUGAGUUCUGAGCUUUAUUUCAUAACUCAUUAGACAGUUUUUUUCUUCUUCUAAAUAAAGCUGCACUGUGUGUUUAGUACCCUAAUUAAGAUGUAUUAAAGUGUGCUAGAAAGUUUA
Stegodyphus dumicola is the source of this 457-nucleotide long non-coding RNA. RefSeq lists it as uncharacterized. NCBI's taxonomy places the organism in Eukaryota, Metazoa, Arthropoda, Arachnida, Araneae, Eresidae. The record is from RefSeq and is a predicted model, not a curated record.